GAUUAACGCUGGCGGCAUGCCUAACACAUGCAAGUCGAACGGCAGCACAGUAAAGACUUCGGUCUUUACGGGUGGCGAGUGGCGGACGGGUGAGUAACGCGUAGGAAUCUGUCCUGGAGGGUGGGAUAACCCGAGGAAACUCGGGCUAAUACCGCAUGAUAUCGAGAGAUCAAAAGCAGGGGACCCUUCGGGGCCUUGCGCUCUAGGAUGAGCCUACGUCGGAUUAGCUAGUUGGUGGGGUAAAGGCCUACCAAGGCGACGAUCCGUAGCUGGUCUGAGAGGAUGACCAGCCACACUGGGACUGAGACACGGCCCAGACUCCUACGGGAGGCAGCAGUGGGGAAUUGUUCGCAAUGGGCGCAAGCCUGACGACGCAACGCCGCGUGGAGGACGAAGGCUUUCGGGUCGUAAACUCCUGUCGUGCGGGACGAAUGCCUCCGGGGUGAACAGCCUCGGAGGGUGACGGUACCGCGAAAGGAAGCCCCGGCUAACUCCGUGCCAGCAGCCGCAGUAA
Molecule: ribosomal RNA, 514 nt
Filed under: uncultured bacterium
Lineage: Bacteria
Description: partial 16S ribosomal RNA
Rfam family: Bacterial small subunit ribosomal RNA
Source: RNAcentral